RNAcentral lists this ribosomal RNA (610 nucleotides) under Pseudozyma hubeiensis. RNAcentral's name for it is "partial 26S ribosomal RNA". Lineage: Eukaryota; Fungi; Basidiomycota; Ustilaginomycetes; Ustilaginales; Ustilaginaceae. The record is from RNAcentral.
GGUAGAGGGCCAUUAUGCCAACGCCCUAAGCGUAAAGGUGCCAAAAGGCCCGCUCUUACGAGUACGCUGCGUUCCUCGGUCUCGGUCGCUGUAUCCAGUAGGAGGCUAUAACACACCCCGAGAGGUGCCACGUUCCUCCUACCCUUCUCCAGUGCCCAAAACCGACGUUGGCCUGCAACGCAGGAAAAACACCAAGCAAAAGCAAGGCUGAAUCCUGCGACGCAUCUCUGACCUCCUACCCUUCCCUUUUGGCAAUUUCACGUACUGUUUAACUCUCUUUUCAAAGUUCUUUUCAUCUUUCCAUCACUGUACUUGUUCGCUAUCGGUCUCUCCCCAAUAUUUAGCCUUAGAUGGCAUUUACCACCCAUUUUGAGCUGCAUUCCCAAACAACUCGACUCUUAGAAAGCGUAUCACAAAGCUUCGGGCGCUCCAUGCCAUGUACGGGAUUAUCACCCUCUAUGAUGCCCUUUUCCAAGGGACUUAGGCAUGGUCCGAAGCGGAAAACACUUCUUGAGAUUACAAUGCGGACGCCGAAGGCGCCAGCUUUCAAUCUUGGGCUCUUCCCUCUUCACUCGCCGUUACUAGGGGAAUCCUUGUUAGUUUCUUUUCC